This 334-nucleotide unclassified non-coding RNA is filed under the name soil metagenome. RNAcentral's name for it is "partial contains 5.8S ribosomal RNA, internal transcribed spacer 2, and large subunit ribosomal RNA". The stretch from base 1 to 120 matches the Rfam family "5.8S ribosomal RNA", at positions 35 to 154 of the family's 154-position model. The record is from RNAcentral.
GAUGAAGAACGUAGCGAAAUGCGAUAAGUAGUGUGAAUUGCAGAAUUCAGUGAAUCAUCGAAUCUUUGAACGCACAUUGCGCCCUUUGGUAUUCCUUAGGGCAUGUCUGUUCGAGCGUCAUUUAAACCUUCAAGCUCAGCUUGGUGUUGGGUGACUGUCCGCUUCACCGCGGACUCGCCUCAAAAUUAUUGGCGGCCGGUACAUUGGCUCUCGAGCGCAGCAGAAACGCGUAACUCGAGGUCCUCGUGCUGGCUCCCAGAAGCUAUCUUCACAAUUUUGACCUCGGAUCAGGUAGGGAUACCCGCUGAACUUAAGCAUAUCAAUAAGCGGAGGA